UACGUAGGGUGCGAGCGUUGUCCGGAAUUAUUGGGCGUAAAGGGCUCGUAGGCGGUUUGUCGCGUCGGGAGUGAAAACCUUGGGCUUAACUCAGGGCUUGCUUUCGAUACGGGCAGACUAGAGGUAUGCAGGGGAGAACGGAAUUCCGGGUGUAGUGGUGAAAUGCGUAGAGAUCCGGAGGAACACCAGUGGCGAAGGCGGCUGGCUGGACCUGACCUGACGCUGAGGCGCGAAGGCGUGGGGAGCGAACGGG
Molecule: ribosomal RNA, 253 nt
Filed under: uncultured bacterium
Lineage: Bacteria
Description: partial 16S ribosomal RNA
Rfam family: Bacterial small subunit ribosomal RNA
Source: RNAcentral